AUUUCCAUGUCUUUUUUUUUUUAUUUUUUUUUAUUUGAGAGAUAGAUAGCACGCUACCCGCUUCGUUUAUUUCAUUUAGAAAUAAACUUAGCUGAAAAUGUGAAUCAAUUAGGAUUAAAACUUGCGUCUCGAAUACCAACCACUAAGGGCCUGUUUGUUUGCACGAAAGUGGGGCGGAAGGGGAAAGUAAUUUUCGGUGAAAACUGUCAAUUUUUGUUGUUUGGUUCACCGUAAUUUUAUUAGGCCCGAAAGUCCAGUUCACUCAAAAUAAUGAAAUUGACUUUGCCCUCCCACGGGGUGAAGUCAAUUCCUGUGAAGUGAAAAAAAGGCAAGAGUGGGAUUAAUGUGUUAGGUUUAUCUCUUCUCUACAUACCCUUUCAUCCAAAUAUAUUCAAUUAUGGAAGUAAUUAAAUUUUUUAUUUUGAUUAUAUGUCUAAAAUAUGAUCAAAUUUGGUUAGGUAAGUUUUAAUAUAUUUUUUGUUUAAUUUGUAUAUUUAGAAAAUGAUGAAAAAUGAAUUUGUUAAAUGUUAAUAAUUUUUUAACUUUAGAAUUUUAUUUGUUGCAUUAUUAUAAUUUAUAUGCAAACAAAUAAUAUAAUUUUUUAAAAUUUUAUUUUAUAAUUAUACAUAUAUAUAAUUAUAUACAUAUAUAAUUAUAUUAAUUUUUAUUUAUUAUAAUUUAUUAUUCACUAUAAGUUACAAAAUAGACAAUAAUAUUAUUUCGGAGGUAAGUAUAUCGGGGGUGAAGAGCUACACUUUUUACGUCAUAUAUUUCCUACCAAAUAAACAACAGAACUCGCAGAACUGCACUUCCACAGUUAGAAACAAACAGCAGAAGUGAACUAAUUUUCACCCCAACUCCACUUCAACCCAAAGUCCACUUCCACCCUAAGUCUACUUACGUUGAAACAAACAUACCCUAAGUCGUUUGCCACUUGCUCUAGGGACAGUCGGUUCAAUUUCUAUGUCACUAGUGCUUUCAAGGAAGGAUUUAAUUACCUAUUGGUACAGGUCGUAUCAAGUGUCUUAUUGUGAGAGCAAAAUAUCGGUACAAUAUAGUUUUCGUGCCGGUGGCUCAGUUUAAAACUCUCAUUUUUAAAAAAAUUAGUAAGUGAUUUAAUCAAUAAAGUUUGAAAGUUUUGAUAAAAAUAUUUAAUAAGUAAUCAAUAUAUUUUGUUGCUAAAAAAAAUAAAUAUUUCAUAUCAUUAUUGUUAGAUUUUAUUGAAUUUUUAUGAUUUAAAACUUGUUAAGCUUCUUGGGCCUUGUUUGGGAGUCCAACUAAAAUUUUCAUGCGUGAGAUUUAGUCCCACAUUGGAAACUAAAAAGAGUGUUGUUGCUAUAUAUAUAUUACUCUAUUCUCAAAUUAGUUGUUUGGAAAAAAAAAAGAAUUAUACUUUUAUUUAAAUGUACGGUACAUA
Molecule: long non-coding RNA, 1417 nt
Filed under: Ananas comosus (pineapple)
Lineage: Eukaryota; Viridiplantae; Streptophyta; Magnoliopsida; Poales; Bromeliaceae
Description: long non-coding RNA (ACOM_LNC018573)
Source: RNAcentral